GUGAAGUCAUGAUGAAGUUUAUCCAUUCUCUGAGUGCCUCUGCACUGCCCCCCGCAACAUCCAGGUCCCUGUUCUAGAGGCUUUGUGCUGUGCAGCCUCCAGAUUCCCCCCCAGUCUCUCAGUGGUCUACUGGGGGCUAUUCGCAUGUCUGGAUGGCUGCCUGCAGGAGUGAAAUAGCCAGCAGAGCUGGAGCCUCUUUCUUUGGGGGGGGGGCUCCAUCUCGGCCAAGAUGAGGGAUGCUGUCUGAUCAC
RNAcentral lists this small nucleolar RNA (251 nucleotides) under Alligator mississippiensis (American alligator). RNAcentral describes it as "Small nucleolar RNA SNORD17". It matches the Rfam family "Small nucleolar RNA SNORD17". From Rfam's summary of the family: The snoRNA HBI-43 belongs to the C/D family of snoRNAs, guiding 2'O-ribose methylation at position U3797 of the 28S rRNA. Pseudouridylation in position U3797 is predicted to be guided by the H/ACA snoRNA ACA48. Lineage: Eukaryota; Metazoa; Chordata; Crocodylia; Alligatoridae. The record is from Rfam by way of RNAcentral.